UUUGAUCCUGGCUCAGAGUGAACGCUGGCGGCGUGCUUAACACAUGCAAGUCGAACGAGAACGGAUAUUAGCUUGCUAAUAUUGUCAGCUAAGUGGCGCACGGGUGAGUAAUAUAUAGGUAACAUGCCUUCGAGAAGGGGAUAACGUUUGGAAACGAACGCUAAUACCCUAUAUGCCUUUAAGUCUUAAGACUGCAAGGGAAAUAUUUAUAGCUCGAAGAUUGGCCUGUACGGUAUCAGCUAGUUGGUGAGGUAAUGGCUCACCAAGGCUAUGACAUCUAACUGGUUUGAGAGGAUGCUCAGUCACACUGGAACUGAGACACGGUCCAGACUCCUACGGGAGGCAGCAGUGGGGAAUAUUGCACAAUGGACGAAAGUCUGAUGCAGCAACGCCGCGUGGAGGAUGACACAUUUCGGUGCGUAAACUCCUUUUAUAUGGGAAGAUAAUGACGGUACCAUAUGAAUAAGCACCGCUAACU
Molecule: ribosomal RNA, 478 nt
Filed under: uncultured bacterium
Lineage: Bacteria
Description: bacterial SSU rRNA
Rfam family: Bacterial small subunit ribosomal RNA
Source: RNAcentral